AUCUAACUGAAGAGUCCCAAAUAGAACGAAAUGAGCAGCCUGGAU
This 45-nucleotide non-coding RNA is filed under the name Schistosoma mattheei. The record is from RNAcentral. Lineage: Eukaryota; Metazoa; Platyhelminthes; Trematoda; Strigeidida; Schistosomatidae.